This 4605-nucleotide long non-coding RNA is filed under the name Citrus sinensis (sweet orange). RNAcentral's name for it is "long non-coding RNA (CSIN_LNC002069)". The record is from RNAcentral. Lineage: Eukaryota; Viridiplantae; Streptophyta; Magnoliopsida; Sapindales; Rutaceae.
ACACACAAACACACACCAUUUUCAAUAUGCAUAUUCAUAUUGUUACAUGACCAAUGACAAUGUUUGACAAUUUCUUUUCUUCUUUUUUUCUUUUUAAAGAAUAUGUUACCUACAAUUCAUAAGAGCUGUAACGACAUGCUAAGGAAAUGGGAGAUGUCGUUUUCAAAGGAUGAGUCCUGUGAGUUAGAUGUGUGGCCUCAUAUUCAAACUUUGACAGCGGAUGUGAUUUCUCGAACAGCAUUCGGCAGUAACUUUGAAGAAGGAAGAAAAAUAUUUGAAGUCCUAAGCGAACAAAUUAAUCUUGUAAUUCAAGCUUCAUUGUUUGCUUAUAUUCCAGGAUGGAGGUAAUUUUAAUUAUUAAUCAACUUAAAUUAUUCCUCGUAGUACUCUUGGUGACCUGAGCUGUGUUAAUUUUUUAAAGAUCUUAUAUCAUGUGUGUGUUUAUAGCACUGCAUAAGAUUAAAAGUGGUCUUCUAAAAAAAGAAUCCUUAUCAUUAUAGUGUAGAAAAGUGUUGUCAAAUGUUUUAGCGUAUGAAUAAUUUCCACGUGCCUUGCACUUAAUUAUGAGAAUGGUUUAUUGGUAGGUUUGUGCCUAAUAAACUGAACAGAAAAUUGAACAGCAACCACAAUGAAAUGGGAGAACUGGUAAAAGGUAUCGUUAACAAAAGAAAGGAAGCUCUGAAAUUUGGAAAAGCCAGCAAUAAUGAUGACUUAUUGGGUAUAUUGAUGGAAUCAAAUCACAAAGAGAUUCAGGAGAAGGAAACUGGAAUGAGUAUUGAAGAGGUGAUUGAAGAGUGCAAGCUGUUCUAUCUAGCUGGGCAGGAAACUACUGCAUCAUUGCUUGUGUGGACAAUGGUUUUGUUAUGCAUACAUCCUGAAUGGCAAGAACGAGCAAGGGAAGAGGUUUGUCAAGUUUUUGGAAAUAGAGAACCAAAAUUUGAAGAGCUGAACCAGUUCUGCUGUACGGCCAAGGCGGAUGUACGGUACAGCAGAUAUUAAAUAUAAUUUAAAUUUUUUUAAGAAUAAUUAAAAAAUAUAUAUAUUUUUAAAUAUUUUUAUAUUGGUCUUAGUUGACCGAAAUUAUUUAUAACCCUAAUUCCAGUGUAUGGUGCAGGUAAGAAAAUUGAGUUCUAUACAAGGUACUUAGAUUGUGCAGUAGUUAUGGCCAUGGGGUUUGGUUACUGGAAAUGAUAAAACCUACAAAAAUGUCGAGGGUUCAAAUCCCUUCUUAUACAGGGAAUGGGAAGGGAUUUGUUAUAUAUGUAUGUAAUAUUUUAAAAAAUCAAAGUUUAAAAUUAACUAGUAGUGAUAGCUUAUUUUGCAAACCAAAAGACGGGAAAUCCAGUGAAAUUUAGAACCUUAACUAAUUUUUUUUUUUUCCCCCUCCCAAAUGAUUCCGUUUUCUGUUGCAGGUAAGCCAAAUUCUGUACGAGGUACUGAGGUUAUAUUCACCAGCACCUCUGCUUACUCGAGCUAAUGUUAAGGAGAUUAAGCUAGGAGAAAUUGUUAUACCACCUGGAGUUUUACUUUCAUUGCCAAUAAUGCUUGUUCAUCAUGAUCAUGAAUACUGGGGCGAUGAUGCAAAAAAGUUCAACCCAGAUAGGUUUUCAGAAGGAGUCUCAAACGCAUCGAAGAAUCAAAUUUCAUUCUUCUCAUUUGGUUGGGGUCCUCGAAUCUGCCUUGGACAAAACUUUGCUCUGUUGGAAUCGAAAUUAGCUUUAGCAAUGAUUUUGCAGAAGUUCACUUUCCAGCUUUCACCAACUUAUAUGCAUGCUCCUACUCGUGGGGUAACUGUAUAUCCACAGCAUGGUGCUAAUAUCAUUUUACACAAAAUUUAGUAUGCAUUACUAUCGCAAGUAUUCAGAAUUCAUGCCAUAUAGUAUAUGUAGAGCAAGAACUUUAUUAUUUUGAUUUACCGUUUUAAAUUUUCUCAGUACUCUUCUUUCCAAUAAAUUUAGAGAUGCAAUUUUUUUUUUUUUUAUUUAGUGUACAAAGCUGAUUAGGCCUCUUGUGGUGAAAGCAAAAAAAUAAAAACAAAUUAACUUUUCGUGUUUAAAAAAAAUUAAAUUUAAUUUAAAAAAAUAAAAAUUAUUUUUAAAAAUGUGAGUCAACCAUUUUUUUUUUUGUUUUUGCAAGCUCAAGCCUAGUCGAAUCUAGAGUGGGUGAAAAACAGGGCCCAAAUCUUGGCUCUACACAUUGGACCUAAAUGAAAUCCUAACGGUCCAAUCUGGACGAAGUUCAUGCUGAGGAAAAGAGAAAUAAAUAUGACAGAUCAAUAGUUUUGAAGCGUUUAUAACACUUUUUUUAAAGGCUUUUUUUGAGUGUUUGUAGAUCGAAUUUUACAGAUUAGACAUUAAUUUAUAUUCGAUUAAUAAUUUUACGGAUUUUAAAUUGUCAAUCUAAUCAAAUCCAUAAAUUGGUGAAAUUCAUUUAAGUCCAAUUCAUGUGUCUGCAAAUCACAUGCGGAUUUGAUCCAAUACUUAUCUAAUCCACCAUUUUACAAAUUAGUUUAAAAUUUUAUAAUUCUGUCAAAUCCACAAACUAAUUAAAUAAAAAAUUUUAAUAUAAAAAUAAUUUUACUAUCGAUCAAAUUCAAAAUUGAAUAAGAUUUAAAUAAAUUAAUUGUUUAAAUAAAGUUAGAAUAAUGCAUUUAGAGUUUUAAAAUAUACCACAUCGAAAAGAAAAAAAUCUCAUUUGUUUAGAUUAAUACAUAAAAAUUAACUGAAAUUAUGAAAAUUAACUAUUUAGGAAUUGUUUUGUCUUGCUUGACCCAAGGAAGAGGAAUUGUUUUGUCUUACCUUUGGUUGAAUACCGAUUAUUAUUAUUUGGCGAGACCAAUUAAUUGUUUAUACAUACUUAAAAAAUAAUUUUGUCCAACCUUUUAAUUACAUUUUAUUAUAGGUAAUUAUGUAUAAACUAAAGUUAGUAUGUCGCAUACAAUUAAAAAAAAAAAAAGAGUGCCCCGCACAUAUGACAAAGUAGUAAUGGAAAUUAAUUAUAAGCUACCCAAAUUUUGAGAUGGCUAAAUAUUUUUAAAUAAAAUAAAAUUAAAAGGCUUGUAAUUGGCCAAUUUGUGAAAAUAAUAAUUGAUGACAAACAAGUUAGACAAAUUUGUCUAUACAAAGGAUUGUGGAUGAGAGAAUUAUUUGAAAAGUCAGUCAAUCCCUUUAUAUGCAAAUUGAUGUGAUCAAGUUACAUAUAUAAAUUCUAACAAAGUGUUUGUGAUUCUACCAUUACUCAUUUAGAAAUUGUGUUCAAUUCUAGCCGAUCAUUUUAUAAAUUGUUGAAAAGCAAAAAUCUGGAAAAGUCUAGUCACAGGAGUUAAAAUUUUAUCUAGAUAAAAUAGUAAUAACAAAAUAUGUUGGUUAAAAUUAGUGAAAAUAAAACAUUCAACUAAUAUUUUUUUUAAUUUUGUCAAUGCCUUAGGAAAUAAAUUACUUGGUCAUAAAAAAUACAAAGUUGUCUAAGACAAAACUUUUAGUUACUAUUUUUAGUUUUGUCACCAUAAUAACUCAUCUACGACUAAAAAACAAGAUCUUAAAAUUAUAAUAAAUCAAAAUAGCUUUAGAGACUAAUAUUANNNNNNNNNNNNNNNNNNNNNNNNNNNNNNNNNNNNNNNNNNNNNNNNNNNNNNNNNNNNNNNNNNNNNNNNNNNNNNNNNNNNNNNNNNNNNNNNNNNNNNNNNNNNNNNNNNNNNNNNNNNNNNNNNNNNNNNNNNNUUUUUUCAGGGGCCCAAACGCUAAAAGGUGGGGGAGAAGCAAGCCGAACCUCUGAUCGACCUAGACAUAUAAAAAAUUCUCGGCGUCGAGAGAGAUUUGAGAUUCCGUAAGUAACUCAGUCUGCUGUACGGCCAAGGCGGAUGUACGGUACAGCAGAUAAAAUAUGGUGUUCACCUGUUUUUAAAAAUCAUUUUCUUCGCAUUACGUGUCUUUUAACGCGUUAUAAAAACAUUCGUCUCGGAAGAAGAGUAAUGCAUACUUAAGAAAAAAAAAUUGAAAAAACUAAAGGAUCCUUUUUUUUUAAUUAUAACAAGAUGAAGAUGCCAUAAAAUAAAAUAAAUUUUGCCUUUUUUUUUUCUAAGAAUAAUAAAAACAAAAAAACAUGAUAAGUUGAAACAUUCUAAUCCGUAACCCUUAUUGCUAAAAUUACAGGUAAGAAUUCUUUCAUAUGGAUGGGUCCAAGACCAAACAUACACAUCACAGACCCUAAAAUGAUAAGGGAAAUUUUUUUGAAGUAUGAUAUCUUUCAAAAACCGAGAAGCCCACUUGUGAAGUUGCUGGUCACUGGGAUGGCGGACUAUGCUGGUGAACAGUGGUUUAAAGUCAGAAAAAUUGCCACUCCAGCUUUCCAUCAUGAUAAGUUGAAGGUUCGUUUUCACCUUUAUAGUUCGUUUAAUCACACACACACACCAUUUUCAAUAUGCCUGUUCAUAUUGUUACCUGACCUAUAACAUUGUUUGACAAUUUCUUCCAUUUUUUUUCAUAAGAAUAUGUUACCUACAAUUCAUAAGAGCUGUAACGACAUGCUGAGGAAAUGGGAGAUUUCGGUUUCAAAGGAUGAGUCCUGUGAGUUAGAUGUGUGGCCUCAUAUUCAAACUUUGACAGC